GACCUGCCCACUGAGAUUAUUAUUGAAGGGCCGCAGUAUUUUGACUGUGCAAAGGUAGCAUAAUCAUUAGUCUUUUAAUUAAAGGCUGGAAUGAAUGGUUGGACGAGGUAAAAACUAUCCUAUAAUGAGGAGUAGAAAUUAAUUUUUGAAUAAAAAAGUUCAAAUGCAUUUGAGUGACGAGAAGACCCUAUAGAGUUUAACAUUAAUUUGUUAAUAAUAAUUUGUUAAUAUAUAAUUUAUGUAUUAUGGAAAGUAAAUGUUUUGUUGGGGUGAUUGGAAAAUAUAAAAAACUUUUCUUUUAGAUUAAUAUUUAAUAAGUAGUAAUAAUUGAUCCAUUAAAAGUGAUUAUAAGAUUAAAUUACCUUAGGGAUAACAGCGUAAUCUUUUUUGAGAGUUCUUAUUGAGAAAAAGGUUUGCGACCUCGAUGUUGGAUUAAGAUAAAUGUUGAAUGUAGCUGUNCAAAUUAUUAGGUCUGUUCGACCUUUAAAUUCUUACAUGAUCUG
Molecule: ribosomal RNA, 503 nt
Filed under: Chaeteessa filata
Lineage: Eukaryota; Metazoa; Arthropoda; Insecta; Mantodea; Chaeteessidae
Description: partial 16S ribosomal RNA
Rfam family: Bacterial large subunit ribosomal RNA
Source: RNAcentral